UGGUGUAUAGCCAAAAGGUAAGGCAAUGAUUUUUGAUAUCAUGAAUGCAGGUUCGAAUCCUUUUACACCAG
Molecule: transfer RNA, 71 nt
Filed under: Hildenbrandia rubra
Lineage: Eukaryota; Rhodophyta; Florideophyceae; Hildenbrandiales; Hildenbrandiaceae
Description: tRNA-Gln
Rfam family: tRNA
About the family: Transfer RNA (tRNA) molecules are approximately 80 nucleotides in length.
Source: RNAcentral